UGGGCAGAAAAGAUUACACAGCUGGGGGAACUAGCUGCCUAAGACUGUAUCAGCGGUGUGUUCGCAGUGACGAUGAAAGAGAAAGUUGAAGACAGGAUGAUGGGUGUGGCUGCCCUGAGGCUCUGCGAGGCACUGGCCAUGGAUGCGGGCUGGGUGCAUUCGCAGGAGGUUGGAUCAAAAGUGGUUCAGCUGGUCUCCAAAUGGCGUCCAUGUGGGAUACCAACUCUACAGACGGGCAACCUGACCCGCUAUGCCACAGUACUAGCUCCUAACUUUGGUUUUUUUUUUUUUUUUGAUUACCUUUCUUCCUUUGAAGCCAAGAAAGCAAAGUGCCAACUUAAAAUUCUGAUUCGGAUGUAAACAUAAAUCACCUAGACUUUUAUUAGAAUUUGUGAAUUU
Long non-coding RNA from Ochotona curzoniae (black-lipped pika), 399 nucleotides. RefSeq lists it as uncharacterized. The record is from RefSeq and is a predicted model, not a curated record. The transcript is spliced from 3 exons. NCBI's taxonomy places the organism in Eukaryota, Metazoa, Chordata, Mammalia, Lagomorpha, Ochotonidae.